AGAGUUUGAUCCUGGCUCAGGAUGAACGCUGGCGGCGUGCUUAACACAUGCAAGUCGAACGGGAACCUCUGGAUUCGUCUGGAGGGGAGAGUGGCGAACGGGUGAGUAACACGUAAGUGACCUGCCUCGAAGAUGGGGACAACUGCUGGAAACGGCAGCUAAUACCCAAUGGUCUCGGCGAUUCGGUUCGCUGAGUAAAUGCUACGGCGCUUCGGGAGGGGCUUGCGGCCCAUCAGCUUGUUGGUAGGGUAAUGGCCUACCAAGGCGAAGACGGGUAGGGGACGUGAGAGCGUGACCCCCCACACUGGCACUGAGACACGGGCCAGACUCCUACGGGAGGCAGCAGUGAGGAAUAUUGCGCAAUGAGCGAAAGCUAGACGCAGCAACGCCGCGUGGGUGAUGAAGGCCCUCGGGUCGUAAAACCCUUUUCUGGGGGACGAGAAAGGACGGUACCCCAGGAAUAAGCCUCGGCUAACUAUGUGCCAGCAGCCGCGGUAACACAUAGGAGGCAAGCGUUAUCCGGAUUUAUUGGGCGUAAAUGCGUUGAGGCGGUCCCGUAAGUUGGACGUGAAAGCUCCCGGCUCAACUGGGAGAGGCCGUUCAAUACUGUGGGGCUUGAGGGCAGCAGAGGGGGGUGGAAUUCCCGGUGUAGUGGUGAAAUGCGUAGAUACCGGGAGGAACACCAGUGGCGAAGGCGGCCCCCUGUGCUGCUCCUGACGCUGAAGGCGAAAGCUAGGGGAGCAAACGGGAUUAGAAACCCCGGUAGUCCUAGCCGUAAACGAUGGAUACUAGGUGUAGGGGGUGAAUACUCCCUCUGUGCCGAAGCUAACGCGUUAAGUAUCCCGCCUGGGGAGUACGAUCGCAAGAUUAAAACUCAAAGGAAUUGACGGGGACCCGCACAAGCAGCGGAGCGUGUGGUUUAAUUCGAUCAACGCGAAGAACCUUACCAGGGUUUGACAUGUAGGUAGUAGUGAAGCGAAAGCGGAACGAUCCUUCGGGAAGCCUGCACAGGUGCUGCAUGGCUGUCGUCAGCUCGUGCCGUGAGGUGUUAGGUUAAGUCCUGUAACGAGCGCAACCCCUGCCGUUAGUUACAAGUGUCUAACGGGACUGCCCGGCAAAACUGGGAGGAAGGUGGGGAUGACGUCAAGUCAGCAUGGCCUUUAUAUCCUGGGCUACACACACGCUACAAUGGCCGGUACAAUGGGUAGCCAAGCCGCGAGGCGGAGCCAAUCCUCUAAAGCCGGUCUCAGUUCGAAUUGUAGGCUGCAACUCGCCUGCAUGAAGUUGGAGUUGCUAGUAACCGUAGGUCAGCACACUACGGUGAAUACGUUCCCGGGUCUUGUACACACCGCCCGUCACGUCAUGGGAGCUGGUAACACCUGAAGCCGGUGGGCUAACCUAACGGAGGCAGCCGUCGAAGGUGGGACUGGUGACUGGGACGAAGUCGUAACAAGGUA
RNAcentral lists this ribosomal RNA (1457 nucleotides) under metagenome. RNAcentral's name for it is "bacterial SSU rRNA". It matches the Rfam family "Bacterial small subunit ribosomal RNA". The record is from RNAcentral.